UCCGUAGGUGAACCUGCGGAAGGAUCAUUAAUGAAUACAAGGACGCUCUUUUCAUCAAAGAGGUCCGACCUUCAUUAUUCUACCCUGUGCACUAUUUUAUAUUCGGCAGACAGUAGCUUGUCCCUUUGGGGCUUGCGGACCCUGCUGGAUUCACCUUUUAAACACUACAAAGUUAAAGAAUGUUACAAUUUAUAACCAAGAAAAACUUUCAACAACGGAUCUCUUGGCUCUCGCAUCGAUGAAGAACGCAGCGAAACGCGAUAUGUAAUGUGAAUUGCAGAAUUCAGUGAAUCAUCGAAUCUUUGAACGCAUCUUGCGCUUGCUGGUAUUCCGGCAAGCAUGCCUGUUUGAGUGUCAUGAACUCCUCAACCCUUCAAUUCCUAGUUGAAUUGUGAGGUGUUUGGAUCUUGAGUGUUUGCUGGCUGUAAUGAGGCUAUCUAGCUUCGUAUAAGUCUUAGCUCGCUCGUAAUACAUUAGCAUCUCAAUUUCGAAUGACUCGGAUUGACUUGGCGUAAUAGACUUUUAUUCGCUGAGGACACCUUUUUACAAAGGUGGCCGAGUUUCGAGGUAGAAGCUUCUAAUCAAAACUUUGAAGUCUACAUCUUAGAUCAGACCUCAGAUCAGGCAGGACUACCCGCUGAACUUAAGCAUAUCAAUAAGCGGAGGA
Molecule: ribosomal RNA, 667 nt
Rfam family: 5.8S ribosomal RNA (bases 204-357)